AAUCAACGCUGGCGGCGUGCCUCAGACAUGCAAGUCGAACGAUUAAAGCUCUCUUCGGAGAGUGUAUAGAGUGGCGCACGGGUGAGUAACACGUAAGUAAUCUACCUUCGAGUGGGGAAUAACGUCCGGAAACGGACGCUAAUACCGCAUAAUGCAGCGGCAUCGCAAGAUGACAGUUGUUAAAGAAUUUAUUCGCUUGAAGAGGAGCUUGCGGCAGAUAGCUAGUUGGUAAGGUAAUGGCUUACCAAGGCUACGAUCUGUAACCGGUCUAAGAGGACGGUCGGUCACACUGACACUGAAUAACGGGUCAGACUCCUACGGGAGGCAGCAGUCGGGAAUUUUGGGCAAUGGGCGAAAGCCUGACCCAGCAACGCCGCGUGAAGGAUGAAGUAAUUUCGGUA
Molecule: ribosomal RNA, 401 nt
Filed under: uncultured bacterium
Lineage: Bacteria
Description: bacterial SSU rRNA
Rfam family: Bacterial small subunit ribosomal RNA
Source: RNAcentral